CAUUAUUGGGCUACUGUCUUCUUCAUCCCCAAAAAACACCUCACUAUUUACCCUUUGCUAAUUGAGAGUUGAGAUUGUGGAGAAGUCGUUAUCAUCAGACAUCAGAUAUUUUCUCAGAUUUAAGUUUUAGUACUCAAUUCAAUAAAAUUGGACCAAACAAACCGGGCUUUGGCAGUUUUGGGGCUAAAUUCUUUUAGGCCCAAAACUGGGGCAACUCUAUUUUGGCAGAACCAGAAGAAGGAAUUACACAUGCAAUCAAUCGAUUUGAAGAGGGAUCCAUGGCUUUAACAACUCCUCAAGGGGAUACAAACACUUUCUUUGGAAAGCUAAUCCUUAAAGCAUCAGAUUUUCUUCGAGAUGGUUGCUCAUGUUCCAGAUUCUGAUGUUGGUUCACACAUUGCUACACCUAUAGAAAACGAGUAAGGUUGUGAUGUGAAACUCCACGUUUUCUAGAAGCGUACCAAUGUGCGAGUUGAUAUUAGCUCCCCCUUCCCCCCAAAAAUCGAACUCGGGCUAAGCUUAUACUCCAAUAAUUUAUAAGAUGUUUUAUGAGUUUAUAAGUUAUCAAAAUGUAUGAAUAAUUGGGCUUAUAAGCUAGAAUGAUACUUUUGAGCUAAGGAGAGAGUAUCAUAGUUAGAUAGAAAAAUUGAAGAGAAAAUGAACUUGGAAGGUUAUGUGAUGAAAAUAAUAAACUACAUUAUAAUUAUUUUUGUGAAAUAAUUGUUGUUUAUAAGAUUAUGAAAAAAUAAGUUGAUGU
Salvia miltiorrhiza (redroot sage) is the source of this 757-nucleotide long non-coding RNA. RefSeq lists it as uncharacterized. The transcript has 2 exons. Lineage: Eukaryota; Viridiplantae; Streptophyta; Magnoliopsida; Lamiales; Lamiaceae. The record is from RefSeq and is a predicted model, not a curated record.